UACGAAGGGGGCUAGCGUUGCUCGGAAUCACUGGGCGUAAAGCGCACGUAGGCGGAUUUCUAAGUCAGGGGUGAAAUCCUGGAGCUCAACUCCAGAACUGCCUUUGAUACUGGGAAUCUCGAGUCCGGGAGAGGUGAGUGGAACUGCGAGUGUAGAGGUGAAAUUCGUAGAUAUUCGCAAGAACACCAGUGGCGGAGGCGGCUCACUGGCCCGGUACUGACGCUGAGGUGCGAAAGCGUGGGGAGCAAACAGG
Molecule: ribosomal RNA, 253 nt
Filed under: uncultured bacterium
Lineage: Bacteria
Description: partial 16S ribosomal RNA
Rfam family: Bacterial small subunit ribosomal RNA
Source: RNAcentral